This is a long non-coding RNA of Diceros bicornis minor, 255 nucleotides long. RefSeq lists it as uncharacterized. The transcript has 3 exons. NCBI's taxonomy places the organism in Eukaryota, Metazoa, Chordata, Mammalia, Perissodactyla, Rhinocerotidae. The record is from RefSeq and is a predicted model, not a curated record.
GGCGGCGCCGUGGAUGGAGCGGGAGGUCUGCGCGGUGUGUCCAGUCUUCUCGGCGCGGACCGCAUUCCCGUGGACCUUCGGCCGAAGGGGCGACGCGCGACACGAAAACAUCCGUGGAGCUCAAGUUUGAGGUGAAACCAGGCUCAGGGUCCACCUGUCCUCGCUGAUCCAUGGAUUUCUGUGUGACCAGGCCUGGGUGAUGGCUGUGGAGCAGGAAAGAAGUAGAAAGAAAAGACCUUGGAGUGUAGAACCGAG